Propithecus coquereli (Coquerel's sifaka) is the source of this 2231-nucleotide long non-coding RNA. RefSeq lists it as uncharacterized. The record is from RefSeq and is a predicted model, not a curated record. The transcript has a single exon. NCBI's taxonomy places the organism in Eukaryota, Metazoa, Chordata, Mammalia, Primates, Indriidae.
GCAAAGGGGGAGGAGAGGAAAAUGUUCUUCCAAUUACUUUCCAAUUCUACUCCUUUAGGGACAGCUUAGAAUUAUUUGCACUAUUGAGUCUUCAUGUUCCCACUUCAAAACAAACAGAUGCUCUGAGAGCAAACUGGCUUGAAUUGGUGACACUUUGUCCCUCAAGCCACCAGACGUGAUGGUGUUCAGAACUACCUGGAUCUGUAUAUACCUGCGCUUGUUUUAAAGUGGGCUCAGCACAUAGGGUUCCCACGAAGCUCCGAAACUCUAAGUGUUUGCUGCAAUUUUAUAAGGACUUCCUGAUUGGUUUCUCUCCUCCCCUUCCAUCUCUGCCUUUCUUUCAUUUCAUCCUUUCCUUUCUUCCCCUUCCUCCCAGUUCAUCCUUUCUGUUCCAGGCAGCUGCAGUGCCCAACCAUAUACCAAGCUGGCAAUUGUCAGCUCCAGCCCCUAGAACUCUCCCUGCCCUUUGCCGUCCUGCUGCCAGUACCAGCCCCACCCUGUUCUGAGCCCUGAGGAAGCCUUGGGCUCUGCUGAGUCCAACCUGGCCUCUCUAUGAAGAGCAAGAGAGCAACAAGGUCUUGCUUUCCUACAUAGCCCCCUCUUCCCUGGUAAGAAAAAAGCAAAAGGCUUUUCAGACCCCGAACAAUGAGCCUUUUCACCCUUCUACUCUAGAGAAGUGAGCUGGAGAAGCUGGGCCAGAUUUCGUAGCUGAGGAAAGCACAGAGGCCCCCAGUGGCCUGCCAGAGUCAUCAAGUGGCCCAGCAGGGACUCCCUGCCUCCUUCACAUUGGCCUCACUCAGAGUUUAGCAUAGUGCAGCAGGACAAGUGGACCCCAGAACCCAAGCCAGGACCAGCACCUGGGCUCCCAGCCCCUCAUCUGCUCCUCCUUUUGUAAUGGAAAUGUUUUGCUUUUACUCACUGGAGACUGGGGCCAGAAAACCAGGCACUUCAAUAUCUGGUCCAUGGGUGUGGUGUGGGGUUUAGAGGGUUGGGCUUGCUAUGGGUUUUUAUGAUCAGUUUUCAUUUGGGAUCCCAUCUUUUUAACCUCUGUUCAGGAAGUCCUUAUCUAGCUGCAUAUCUUCAUCAUAUUGGUAUAUCCUUUUCUGUGUUUACAGAGAUGUCUCUUAUAUCUAAAUCUGUCCAACUGAGAAGUACCUUAACAAAGUAGCAAAUGAGACAGCAGUCUUAUGCUUCCAGAAACACCCACAGGCAUGUCCCAUGUGAGCUGCUGCCAUGAACUGUCAAGUGCGUGUUGUCUUGUGUAUUUCAGUUAUUGUCCCCUGGCUUCCUUACUACGGUGUAAUCAUGAAGGAGUGAAACAUCAUAGAAACUGUCUAGCACUUCCUUGCCAGUCUUUAGUGAUCAGGAACCAUAGUUGACAGUUCCAAUCAGUAGCUUAAGAAAAAAACGUGUUUGUCUCCUCUGGAAUGGUUAGAAGUGAGGGAGUUUGCCCCAUUCUGUUUGUAGAGUCUCAUAGUUAGACUUUCUAGCAUAUAUGUAUCCAUUUCCUUAUGCUGUAAAAGCAAGUCCUGCAACCAAACACCCAUCAGCCAGGUCCCUGAGCCCUUCUACCCGCUCUGCUAUUGACCUCCCGGCUUCACUUCUGACUCCUCCCCAGGAAGGGAAGGGGGAUCAGAGGAGCAGGCGAGUCCUUCGGAACUCCUCUUCCUCCAAGGACAAAAGGCUCCUGUCCCCGCAGCAGCCUCACACUCCCAGCACCCCCAAAGGACACCUAUCAUGCAAGUGCAGCAUCCAGCCAGGUUGUCACUGAGAUGCUUGUUUUGGUCAGUUGGGUUUUUAUGCAUUAUAUUUAGUCCAGUGAAAUGUGGCUCCUGGACCCGGUGUCAGGAGCUGGCUUCUUCAUCAGCCGAGUGUGAUCUGGUCCUGAUAAGAGGAGUGCAGGGGCCCACCAGGCUCUGCUGACACCCAUGACAGUUCAUUCAAGGGCUGACUGGGCAUUUGUGGUUGGGAACACAGCAUUUGAGGUGUCGUUUUCUUUCGAUUGGGCCCCCCCCCCACCUGCAGCUCCUUCACUCCCCGCUGCCUUUCCUUAGAGUUCCUUCCAAAGCUGCAGGUGGUGCCUGAGGCUCCUUUGGGUCUUCUCUCUUUCCCCGCUGUCUUCCCCAUUCCCUCUUCUUCCCCAAAUAAAGGCAGCACGGUUUAUCACCCUGGCAGGCAGGGGCCCUAUAGGUCCCAUGCUGCCCCUGCCUCGGGGUCAGGUUGACAGGAGG